AGCAGCAGCCGCGGGAAUACGUAGGUGGCAAGCGUCGUCCGGAAUUAUUGGGCGUAAAGGGCUCGCAGGCGGUUUCUUAAGUCUGAUGUGAAAGCCCCCGGCUCAACCGGGGAGGGUCAUUGGAAACUGGGAAACUUGAGUGCAGAAGAGGAGAGUGGAAUUCCACGUGUAGCGGUGAAAUGCGUAGAGAUGUGGAGGAACACCAGUGGCGAAGGCGACUCUCUGGUCUGUAACUGACGCUGAGGAGCGAAAGCGUGGGGAGCGAACAGGAUUAGAGACCCCUGUAGUCCCUGUCUCUUAUAA
Molecule: ribosomal RNA, 303 nt
Filed under: uncultured bacterium
Lineage: Bacteria
Description: partial 16S ribosomal RNA
Rfam family: Bacterial small subunit ribosomal RNA
Source: RNAcentral